GCGGCAGCCUUGCUGUUGUUGUCGUCCGGCCACGGACGAGGGAGAGUUCAUGUGGCUGGUCGGAGCUGGUCUGGGUGGAGGUUAGGGCUCCGGCGGGCGGCUCCGGCUGCUGCUCGUCGGCGGGAGUCAUAGAGAGAAUUCCGAGGGAGAUAAGAGGGCGGCAAUGGUGGCGGCAUGAAGCUGCUGCCGUCGGCCAAAGUUCAGCGGAGGGAGGUAGAGCUCGGCGGCCUUGGCUGUUGUCGCUCGACCACUGUCAGAGAGAGAGAGCUGGUGGCGGCAGCUCGUCGCUGCUGCUCCUCCGGCGAGCUCCACGGUGGGCGGCUGUUACCAGCCGAAGAGAGAGGGGCCGAGGGAGGCGGCUGGUCUUUUCAGUUGAUGCGGCUGCCGGUCGACGGCUGCCUCGCCGGAAGGAUGCGCGGUGGCGGGACUGAUGGCUGAGAGAGAAGGGAGCGAGAGAUGAGGGAAGAGGGAGCCGAGAGAGGGAGAGGAGGGUGCUGCUGUGAUUGUUACGUGUGUGUGUGAGCGGCUGAGGGGGGGGGGGAGAAAAGGGGGUGGAGUGUAGGGUUGGGCUUUGGGGUUGGGUUUGAGUUGGGCUAGGGCUUAGAUGGAGUGAUGGGCCGAUUUUUUUUUAUGGGCUGGGUUCUUAAUUUAAUUUUCAGUGGGCUUGACUUGGGCCGAUUUUAAUUGAGUGUUGGGCCGAGUUUUUAUUUAUUUUUGUUUCAGUUUGGGCCUUUACUUAUUAAAUCAAUUGGGCCAUUAAUUUUCAAUUGGGCUCAGUUUAUUAAAAUGAAUGUUGGACCUUCAAUUAUUUAAAAUUGUGGGCUGCCUCCUAUUAAUUAAAUUGGGCUUUCUUAUUUUUAAUUAAUUAAACUAUUAUUAGUUUGAUUAAUUUAUUUAAAGGAUAAUUUUCAUAAUAAUAUUAUAUUAUUAUUAUGUGCAUAUUUUAAGUAAUUACUUAUUAUAUGCUAAGCAUGACAUGAUUUGCAUUAUAUUUUGCAAUAAAAAUAUUUAUGAUUUAAUUGGUUUUAUUUAUAAUUCCAAUUAUUAAAAAUAGACGAGUAAGAAUAUUGUUGGUGUUCUUAACUCAAAAGAAAUGUUUUCAAUUAUUUAUUCAUUAAAUUUUGAAAACCCGGCUAAGUGAAUCAUAGAAUAAUAAGCACUACACCAUGACUUAAGAUUAGCUUCACGAGACCUAUUAAGAAUAGAAUUUCUUGUAGGCUUUGUGACCAGGGGGAUUAGCGCUGCUUUCCCAAGACAGGUUUUUAUGUGUAUGAUCUUCAGGCUUUGCCUAUCCAGGUUGGCUGGCCGGUGCUGACGGGACGGAGCUGAGGCUAGAGUUAAAUUCCUAUGUUAGACUUCCGCUGUAGCAAUUACUCAUAUCAGUCUUUUGUUUUCCCAACUUAAGAUCUUCAUGUUAAAUUUCAAAUGAUAUAUUUGACCAAGCUUAGACUCUUCACUACUAAAUUUAUGCCAAUGAAUGUCGGUUGUCAGAAGCAUGAAACAAAACUUGUGAUCCAAAGGGGCAUAGCCCGACUUUCUAUCCUA
Molecule: long non-coding RNA, 1545 nt
Organism: Salvia miltiorrhiza (redroot sage)
Lineage: Eukaryota; Viridiplantae; Streptophyta; Magnoliopsida; Lamiales; Lamiaceae
Exons: 2
Source: RefSeq, a predicted model, not a curated record